UGUAGCUCAGUGGUCGAGCACUUGCCUAGCAAGUGUGAGGCCCUGGGUUCAAUUCUCAGCA
RNAcentral lists this transfer RNA (61 nucleotides) under Urocitellus parryii (Arctic ground squirrel). RNAcentral describes it as "Spermophilus parryii (Arctic ground squirrel) tRNA". It matches the Rfam family "tRNA", at positions 6 to 65 of the family's 71-position model. From Rfam's summary of the family: Transfer RNA (tRNA) molecules are approximately 80 nucleotides in length. Their secondary structure includes four short double-helical elements and three loops (D, anti-codon, and T loops). The record is from Rfam by way of RNAcentral. Lineage: Eukaryota; Metazoa; Chordata; Mammalia; Rodentia; Sciuridae. RNAcentral also lists the same sequence under 1 other name.